AUCUAUGGCCAUACCACCAUGAACGUGCCCGAUCUCAUCUGAUCUCCGAAGCUAAGCAGGGUCGGGCCUGAUUAGUACUUGAAUGGGAGCUCUUAUUCCACGUCCAGCUAUGCUAAAGUUG
This is a ribosomal RNA of Gorilla gorilla gorilla (western lowland gorilla), 121 nucleotides long. The record is from Ensembl. NCBI's taxonomy places the organism in Eukaryota, Metazoa, Chordata, Mammalia, Primates, Hominidae.